Long non-coding RNA from Camellia sinensis, 809 nucleotides. RefSeq lists it as uncharacterized. Lineage: Eukaryota; Viridiplantae; Streptophyta; Magnoliopsida; Ericales; Theaceae. The record is from RefSeq and is a predicted model, not a curated record.
CCCAAAAUCCCUAUUCGAGCUCGUUUCCCCCCAAAAUCCCUAAAACCUUUGAAGCAAAAAACCCAAGUGAGCAACGACGGUGGAAUUUUGCUACCUUUGAGGCGUAUUGCUUGCGACGAAGGUGGAAUUUUGCUCCGAGCAGCGAGUAGCGACGACAGCGAGCGACGACGGCUAGCAGCAGUCAGUCUUAAUCGCACCUCUCUCACUCACUCAGCCAGUGACGACGCCUAGAGACAAUGGAAACAGAUGAAGCUCAAAGGGUUCUUCCAUUUCAGCUUCAGUUUGACAAACCACUCCCUUCUCAGAUUAAAAUAGCAGAAUGGAACCCAGAAAAGGAGUAAAUCUCACCAUGGUUACUGAGGACUCUAAAAUUCUUCCCCAUCGUUUCAAUUGGCAACGUUGGACUGUAUCCCCAGGAAAAUGCAUAAUAUCCUUGUGUUGGCGUCCCGAAUCUGAUGAAGACCAAGAAGCAUCAAGUUUCCACUUAAGAAUGGAAAGCUGUUGCAAAGCAUAAAGUCCCAUUCUGUUGCUGUUGUGUGUCUUAACUGGGAGGAAGAUGGAAUGGAGUAUGCAUUUCCUUAACUUUUGUCCAUAUGGCUUUUGUAGAGCAUGUAACCAUUAUGUAUACAUAAAGUAAUACUACAUUUCUAUUAUCUACUUAUAGUAUAAACAUUUUACAAAAAGAAAUUGAACUGAUUUGUUCCUGUAAGAUUAUGUAGGAUUUGGCCUUAAUUGAUGGAAAUUCAUGGAUCGUUAAGAUCAGAGAAAGGAACUUUAAUGUAGAAAUUUAUUACAUCAGCUUUUAGAUA